GUGGGGAAUAUUGGACAAUGGGGGAAACCCUGAUCCAGCCAUGCCGCGUGUGUGAAGAAGGCCUUUUGGUUGUAAAGCACUUUAAGCAGUGAAGAAGACUCCGUGGUUAAUACCCACGGACGAUGACAUUAGCUGCAGAAUAAGCACCGGCUAACUCUGUGCCAGCAGCCGCGGUAAUACAGAGGGUGCAAGCGUUAAUCGGAAUUACUGGGCGUAAAGGGAGCGUAGGUGGCUCUAUAAGUCAGAUGUGAAAUCCCCGGGCUUAACCUGGGAACUGCAUCUGAAACUGUAGAGCUAGAGUAUGUGAGAGGAAGGUAGAAUUCCAGGUGUAGCGGUGAAAUGCGUAGAGAUCUGGAGGAAUACCGAUGGCGAAGGCAGCCUUCUGGCAUAAUACUGACACUGAGGCUCGAAAGCGUGGGUAGCAAACAGGAUUAGAAACCCUAGUAGUCC
RNAcentral lists this ribosomal RNA (450 nucleotides) under uncultured bacterium. RNAcentral describes it as "bacterial SSU rRNA". It matches the Rfam family "Bacterial small subunit ribosomal RNA", at positions 354 to 796 of the family's 1533-position model. The record is from RNAcentral.